Molecule: ribosomal RNA, 497 nt
Filed under: uncultured bacterium
Lineage: Bacteria
Description: partial 16S ribosomal RNA
Rfam family: Bacterial small subunit ribosomal RNA
Source: RNAcentral
GAUGAACGCUGGCGGCGUGCCUAAUACAUGCAAGUCGAGCGAACGGACGAGAAGCUUGCUUCUCUGAUGUUAGCGGCGGACGGGUGAGUAACGCGUGGAUAACCUACCUAUAAGACUGGGAUAACUUCGGGAAACCGGAGCUAAUACCGGAUAAUAUUUUGAACCGCAUGGUUCAAAAGUGAAAGACGGUCUUGCUGUCACUUAUAGAUGGAUCCGCGCUGCAUUAGCUAGUUGGUAAGGUAACGGCUUACCAAGGCAACGAUGCAUAGCCGACCUGAGAGGGUGAUCGGCCACACUGGAACUGAGACACGGUCCAGACUCCUACGGGAGGCAGCAGUAGGGAAUCUUCCGCAAUGGGCGAAAGCCUGGCGGAGCAACGCCGCGUGAGUGAUGAAGGUCUUCGGAUCGUAAAACUCUGUUAUUAGGGAAGAACAUAUGUGUAAGUAACUGUGCACAUCUUGACGGUACCUAAUCAGAAAGCCACGGCUAACUACGUG